This 706-nucleotide ribosomal RNA is filed under the name uncultured bacterium. Its description in RNAcentral is "bacterial SSU rRNA". It matches the Rfam family "Bacterial small subunit ribosomal RNA", at positions 143 to 848 of the family's 1533-position model. The record is from RNAcentral.
CCAGCCUUCUGAAAGGAAGAUUAAUCCAGGAUGGGAUCAUGAGUUCACAUGUCCGCAUGAUUAAAGGUAUUUUCCGGUAGACGAUGGGGAUGCGUUCCAUUAGAUAGUAGGCGGGGUAACGGCCCACCUAGUCAACGAUGGAUAGGGGUUCUGAGAGGAAGGUCCCCCACAUUGGAACUGAGACACGGUCCAAACUCCUACGGGAGGCAGCAGUGAGGAAUAUUGGUCAAUGGGCGAUGGCCUGAACCAGCCAAGUAGCGUGAAGGAUGACUGCCCUAUGGGUUGUAAACUUCUUUUAUAAAGGAAUAAAGUCGGGUAUGCAUACCCGUUUGCAUGUACUUUAUGAAUAAGGAUCGGCUAACUCCGUGCCAGCAGCCGCGGUAAUACGGAGGAUCCGAGCGUUAUCCGGAUUUAUUGGGUUUAAAGGGAGCGUAGAUGGAUGUUUAAGUCAGUUGUGAAAGUUUGCGGCUCAACCGUAAAAUUGCAGUUGAUACUGGAUGUCUUGAGUGCAGUUGAGGCAGGCGGAAUUCGUGGUGUAGCGGUGAAAUGCUUAGAUAUCACGAAGAACUCCGAUUGCGAAGGCAGCCUGCUAAGCUGCAACUGACAUUGAGGCUCGAAAGUGUGGGUAUCAAACAGGAUUAGAUACCCUGGUAGUCCACACGGUGAACGAUGAAUACUCGCUGUUUGCGAUAUACGGCAAGCGGCC